Long non-coding RNA from Hydractinia symbiolongicarpus, 330 nucleotides. RefSeq lists it as uncharacterized. The transcript is spliced from 2 exons. Lineage: Eukaryota; Metazoa; Cnidaria; Hydrozoa; Anthoathecata; Hydractiniidae. The record is from RefSeq and is a predicted model, not a curated record.
GAUCUGAUUUUGUUACAGUGGAUAUCGUCUAAGAAGGUGGGGUAGAAAUUUUUGCGUCAUCGAUUUUAAUGGCUUUAAUUUGUGUUUCUUACUUGAUCUAUCCUUGAUACACAGCAAUUCUGAAAAAAAAGAAAACGACAAUUCUGAAGGCUGUCAAAUCCACAGCAUUGUAGGAUAAUAAACAUAAUACACACAACAAUAGAAAGUUGAUGAAAAAUAUGACUCGUGCAGAAAUAGACAUAUAAAAAAGACAGAGGCGAAUCGGCAAAUCCAAUUUAUUUCAUUUAACGAAAGCUUUGGCCGUAACUUCGGCCAACUUCAGUCAUAAGA